AUCUAGAAGGUAAUAUGCUAAGUGAAAUAAGUCAAAGUCAAAUACCACAUGAUCUCAUUUAUACGUGGAGUUUAAAAAACAAAACAGAAUAAAAAGCAUGCACAGAUACAGAGAACAAAUGGCUGGGUGUGGUGGGGAGGCUUGGGGGCAAAACAGGUGAAAGGGAUUAAGAGGUACAAACUUCUAGUUAUAAACCCCUAUGGGUUUCUUCCUAUUGUCUAUUGUUUCUCUUGGAUUUUGAUCAUGUUGUCUUAUCUCCUCAGGUGCUUUUAGAUUGUCUAACAUAAAUAUGAAAAAUUACAAAAAUAACUUAAAAGGUCCAGAGAAGAUUGACAUUUGCUCUGAUUAGUCGCUAGGUACACUACAAAUCCAGGGUCACCUUAAUUCAGUUUUAGGGAUUGAAAAGAUUCAAACUGCAUCUAUUCUUUUGUUCACCCUUACAAUUAGGAUGUAGUCUUUGCGGUCCCAAUCCAGUGUGCUCAGUUACUAGGGUCCCUUCUUCCUUGGAGAGCCCUGAACUCCAAUUUUUAACCCUCUAACUUAGUAGCUAGGCUGCCAAAAAUGUUAGUUAUCUUCUCAGCCACCUCUUUCUGAAUUGGCAAAUGCUCCUAGAAGAAAAGCAGCUCAAAAGCUGAGCUCAGGUCUCUAAGUUUCAUUUCUACCUUGGAUCUUGGUGAUGUAAUUCUUCACUGUCUUCUUGGUUCUCUGAUAUCUUUAAGCAGAUUUAAAAAUAUUAUUUUGCCCAGCCAGUUCUCUGUGAGAUGCCUGAUGUGAAUUACUGAUGAACUACUAACAGUGAAAGUCAAAAAAGCUGGUUUUAGAGAAAAUUUGGUGGAGAUGGAGAUAAGUUACACAUACAGGUUUGAUGCUAAGAGAAGCUGAGCUAGGUACCUGUGUUUGAACAGCAUCAAAUUAUUGAUGAUAUUUUAGAUCUUGGGAGUGAAUGAGGUUGUCCACUGUGAAUGUAGAAUAAGAAGAGGGGGCCUGAACCAGUUGUUAAGAAAUUCCAAAAUUUAGAGGUAAGGUAGAAAAGGAAAAGCAGGUUGAGAAGGAGUAGUCAGGGAUAUGAGAUGAAAAUGAAGAUAAUGGAAAGGAAAAAAAAAGAAAAAAGGAUAAAUAAGAUGAGAAUAUAAAAGUAACUACAAUUUAACCUUGAACAGCACUGGGGUUAAUCUACAUAUAGUAUUCAUGGAUUGAACCAACUGCAGACCGGGUAGUAACUUAGUAUUUACUAAUGAAAAAUAUCCAUGUGCAAGUGGACAUACACAGUUCAAACCUGUAUUGUUCAAGGGUCAACUGUAGUUGGUUUGACAAUAUGAAGGUAAAUAAUGACCUUAAUAAAAACUUUCUUUAUUUGGGGGGAUAGUAGAGAUGGAAUCCAGACUGGAAUGGUCUGACAGGUGAAUGAAGAUGAGGAAACUUGGCCAGGAAUGAAAUGGAGAGACAUGGGAGCAGUUUGAGAAGAAUAAAAGGCAUUUUCUUCUGAACGGAAACAUUCCAACUGCUUUAAAACAAACUGGUACCAGUCUUCCGGAAAUAAUGAGCUCAUCUCCUUCACUUUGGAAUUAGGCAAACAGUUAGACAUCCACUCUUCAGUUGGUUCGUCACCAAAAACAUCAUCAGACCAGUCAUCCAAAGUUUCUGAAUUUAAACUGUCUGUGUCUUCUGGGGAUUCAGUUUGCGGUGGAGUAUUCAAAGCAGGCAGAACUAUUAGAGAUGCUUUCCCUUUAUUUUCAAU
Molecule: non-coding RNA, 1738 nt
Organism: Vicugna pacos (alpaca)
Lineage: Eukaryota; Metazoa; Chordata; Mammalia; Artiodactyla; Camelidae
Source: RefSeq, a predicted model, not a curated record